This 23-nucleotide non-coding RNA is filed under the name Arabidopsis thaliana (thale cress). The record is from RNAcentral. Lineage: Eukaryota; Viridiplantae; Streptophyta; Magnoliopsida; Brassicales; Brassicaceae.
AACUUGCUUUCGUUUAUGGUGUG